AGAGUUUGAUCCUGGCUCAGGAUGAACGCUAGCGGCAGGCUUAAUACAUGCAAGUCGAGGGGUAACGACAUCUUCGGAUGGGCGACGACCGGCGCACGGGUGCGUAACGCGUAUGCAACCUACCUUUAACUGGAGAAUAGCCCCGAGAAAUCGGGAUUAAUACUCCAUAGUAUUCACUUUUCGCAUGUUUAGUGAAUUAAAGUUUCGAUGGUUAAAGAUGGGCAUGCGUGACAUUAGAUAGUUGGUGAGGUAACGGCUCACCAAGUCAACGAUGUCUAGGGGUUCUGAGAGGACUAUCCCCCACACUGGUACUGAGACACGGACCAGACUCCUACGGGAGGCAGCAGUAAGGAAUAUUGGUCAAUGGACGAAAGUCUGAACCAGCCAUGCCGCGUGCAGGAUGACUGCCCUAUGGGUUGUAAACUGCUUUUGUAUAGGAAGAAACUUCCGCACGUGUGCGGAACUGACGGUACUAUACGAAUAAGCACCGGCUAACUCCGUGCCAGCAGCCGCGGUAAUACGGAGGGUGCAAGCGUUAUCCGGAUCUAUUGGGUUUAAAGGGUGCGUAGGCGGAAUAGUAAGUCAGUGGUGAAAUCCUGCAGCUCAACUGCAGACCUGCCAUUGAUACUGUUAUUCUUGAGUACAUUUGAAGUGGGCGAAUAUAUCAUGUAGCGGUGAAAUGCAUAGAUAUGAUAUAGAACACCGAUAGCGAAAGCAGCUCACUAAACUGUAACUGACGCUCAGGCACGAAAGCGUGGGGAGCAAACAGGAUUAGAUACCCUGGUAGUCCACGCCGUAAACGAUGAUCACUCGUUGUUGGCAACACAUCGUCAGCGACUGAACGAAAGCAUUAAGUGAUCCACCUGGGAAGUACGAUCGCAAGGUUGAAACUCAAAGGAAUUGACGGGGGCCCGCACAAGCGGAGGAGCAUGUGGUUUAAUUCGAUGAUACGCGAGGAACCUUACCUGGGCUUAAAUGCAAGACGACCUUCACCGAAAGGUGAAUUUCCUUCGGGACGGCUUGCAAGUUGCUGCAUGGUUGUCGUCAGCUCGUGCCGUGAGGUGUCGGGUUAAGUCCCAUAACGAGCGCAACCCCUAUUCUUAGUUGCCAUCAGAUAAUGCUGGGGACUCUAAGAAAACUGCCUACGCAAGUAGUGAGGAAGGUGGGGAUGACGUCAAAUCAGCACGGCCCUUAUGUCCAGGGCUACACACGUGCUACAAUGGUCGGUACAGAGGGUCGCUACCUGGUGACAGGAUGCUAAUCUCGAAAACCGGUCUCAGUUCGGAUCGAAGUCUGCAACUCGACUUCGUGAAGUUGGAUUCGCUAGUAAUCGCAUAUCAGCAAUGGUGCGGUGAAUACGUUCCCGGGCCUUGUACACACCGCCAG
This 1386-nucleotide ribosomal RNA is filed under the name metagenome. Its description in RNAcentral is "bacterial SSU rRNA". It matches the Rfam family "Bacterial small subunit ribosomal RNA". The record is from RNAcentral.